RNAcentral lists this ribosomal RNA (424 nucleotides) under uncultured bacterium. Its description in RNAcentral is "bacterial SSU rRNA". It matches the Rfam family "Bacterial small subunit ribosomal RNA", at positions 917 to 1344 of the family's 1533-position model. The record is from RNAcentral.
GGGCCCGCACAAGCGGUGGAGCAUGUGGUUUAAUUCGAUGAUACGCGAGGAACCUUACCAGGGCUUAAAUGCAGUUGGACAGGUCUGGAAACAGACCCUUCUUCGGACUAAUUGCAAGGUGCUGCAUGGUUGUCGUCAGCUCGUGCCGUGAGGUGUCAGGUUAAGUCCUAUAACGAGCGCAACCCCUGUGGUUAGUUGCCAGCGAGUCAUGUCGGGAACUCUAGCCAGACUGCCAGUGCAAACUGUGAGGAAGGUGGGGAUGACGUCAAAUCAUCACGGCCCUUACGUCCUGGGCCACACACGUGCUACAAUGGUAGGGACAGAGGGCAGCUACCCCGCGAGGGGAUGCGAAUCUUCAAACCCUAUCACAGUUCGGAUCGGAGUCUGCAACUCGACUCCAUGAAGUCGGAAUCGCUAGUAAUCG